RNAcentral lists this unclassified non-coding RNA (219 nucleotides) under Melitaea cinxia (Glanville fritillary). RNAcentral's name for it is "misc RNA ENSMCXG00005016476.1". Lineage: Eukaryota; Metazoa; Arthropoda; Insecta; Lepidoptera; Nymphalidae. The record is from RNAcentral.
ACUUCAUAAGUUGGUUGAACCCUAAAAAGUCGAAAAAGCGGACUCGUCCAGCGAAUGUGAGAGUCACUAUCAUCAAUCAACAUCGUAAAGCAACCGUGACUCAGCCGACGUAACUAUGAAAUUUCUCUUCACCGUGUGCAAUUAGCAAAUUACAAAAUUUACUUUUGUACUGUUCAAGUAAUUAAUAUAAUUUUUCAAAUAUAAAAAUUAGUCCAUUUA